This 520-nucleotide unclassified non-coding RNA is filed under the name uncultured Entrophospora. Its description in RNAcentral is "SSU rRNA". It matches the Rfam family "Eukaryotic small subunit ribosomal RNA", at positions 569 to 1084 of the family's 1831-position model. The record is from RNAcentral. Lineage: Eukaryota; Fungi; Glomeromycota; Glomeromycetes; Entrophosporales; Entrophosporaceae.
AGCAGCCGCGGUAAUUCCAGCUCCAAUAGCGUAUAUUAAGGUUGUUGCAGUUAAAAAGCUCGUAGUUGAAUUUCGGGAUUGGCGCAUCGGUCGUGCCUCACGGGGUAUGAACUGGUGCAGUCAAUUUCUCACCUUCUGGAGAACCGCGAUGUCCUUAAUUGGAUGCCGCGGGGAACCAGGACCUUUACUUUGAAAAAUUAGAGUGUUUAAAGCAGGCAUUUUUGCUUGAAUACAUUAGCAUGGAAUAAUAAAAUAGGACGGCAUGGUUCUAUUUUGUUGGUUUCUAGGACCACCGUAAUGAUUAAUAGGGAUAGUUGGGGGCAUUAGUAUUCAAUUGUCAGAGGUGAAAUUCUUGGAUUUAUUGAAGACUAACUACUGCGAAAGCAUUUGCCAAGGAUGUUUUCAUUAAUCAAGAACGAAAGUUAGGGGAUCGAAGACGAUCAGAUACCGUCGUAGUCUUAACCAUAAACUAUGCCGACUAGGAAUCAGACGAUGUUAAUUUUUAAUGUACUCGUUUAGG